UUGAUUACAAUAUUAAGGAUUAAUGCAUCUAUUUAAUUGUUUAGGGGAAUUUAGAAUAUAUUUUCGGUCCAAAAUAAUGAUCCAAAACCAAUAUUUUCAUAUUUUCAUAUUUUCAUUUUUAGUAAAAACAUUUAUUGUUUUGAAUUAAUAUCACAUUCUAAUUCGAUAUAACUUCAUUGAUUUUUAUUUCCGUAAAAUUUCUGUCAUUAUUAGUUUUUUUUCUUACUUCUAAUUAACUUUAGUUUUUAUUGUUUUUGUUAAACUUCAUACAUUUUUGUGAUUUUUAAACUUUUUUUAUUUUUUUGUGAACAUAAAUGAAAAACGUUGACAUGUUGUUGUUUAAUUUGGUAUUAGUUUGUCUUCUCUUAUGGUUUCCUUAUAUUUCGUACUCUUUUUGUGAGGACUCAACCUUGGACAACACUUGGUUCAAAACGUAUGGUAUUUACAUGAUAACUUGCGAGAGAAUUUUUUUUUUUUUAAAAAGACAUUUAGUUACCAAAUGAAGUUAAUUAAGUAGAUAACUAAUGUUGCACAAAAAAAAAACAUUUUAUUAGUUCAUGAUGCAUGCUGCUCAACAGGAUUACUUACGAAGGAUGAGUUGUUUUGUUUCACAGAUUGUUAAAAUGUUAAU
RNAcentral lists this long non-coding RNA (631 nucleotides) under Brassica rapa (field mustard). RNAcentral's name for it is "long non-coding RNA (BRAP_LNC005639)". Lineage: Eukaryota; Viridiplantae; Streptophyta; Magnoliopsida; Brassicales; Brassicaceae. The record is from RNAcentral.